AACCAUAGAAACCUGCGGAGUACCUGCGGAAGGAUCAUUAUCGAGUUGCAAAACUCCAACCCUUUGUGAACAUACCUCAGUCGUUGCUUCGGCGGUGGACGGCCUUUUUUCGAAAAGGCCCGAAGCCGCCGGAGGUUCCAAACUCGUGUUUUGUUUAGUGUAUCUCUGAGCCUGAAAACAAAUAAUCAAAACUUUUAGCAACGGAUCU
RNAcentral lists this unclassified non-coding RNA (208 nucleotides) under soil metagenome. RNAcentral describes it as "partial contains 5.8S ribosomal RNA, internal transcribed spacer 2, and large subunit ribosomal RNA". The record is from RNAcentral.